This 496-nucleotide ribosomal RNA is filed under the name uncultured bacterium. RNAcentral's name for it is "partial 16S ribosomal RNA". It matches the Rfam family "Bacterial small subunit ribosomal RNA", at positions 28 to 523 of the family's 1533-position model. The record is from RNAcentral.
GAUGAACGCUAGCGGCAGGCCUAACACAUGCAAGUCGAGGGGUAGAAGCAGCUUGCUGCUUUGAGACCGGCGCACGGGUGCGUAACGCGUAUGCAAUCUACCUUUUACUAAGGAAUAGCCCAGAGAAAUUUGGAUUAAUGCCUUAUGGUAUAUUUGAAUGGCAUCAUUUAAAUAUUAAAGAUUUAUUGGUAAAAGAUGAGCAUGCGUCCCAUUAGUUAGUUGGUAAGGUAACGGCUUAACAAGACGAUGAUGGGUAGGGGUCCUGAGAGGGAAGUCCCCCACACUUGUAGUGGUACACGGACCAGACUCCUACGGGAGGCAGCAGUGAGGAAUAUUGGUCAAUGGAGGCAACUCUGAACCAGCCAUGCCGCGUGCAGGAUGACGGUCCUAUGGAUUGUAAACUGCUUUUGUACAGGAAGAAAAAGAGUUACGUGUAGCUUAUUGACGGUACUGUAAGAAUAAGGAUCGGCUAACUCCGUGCCAGCCGCCGCAGUAA